Non-coding RNA from Saccharata proteae CBS 121410, 83 nucleotides. NCBI's taxonomy places the organism in Eukaryota, Fungi, Ascomycota, Dothideomycetes, Botryosphaeriales, Saccharataceae. The record is from the annotation of a GenBank genome assembly.
GCCCGGCUAGCUCAAUCGGUAGAGCGUGAGACUCUUAUCCAGAGUGCAUCUCAAGGUUGCGGGUUCGACCCCCGCGUUGGGCU